CUAUACUUUAUCUCCUCUCUCUCUCCUUAUCCCUUCACACGCACGCCUAGCCAUCGAAGCCGCCGCAUGCCACUCCGCAAAUCACCGCCGCAAGCCUGAGGGCCUCAUGCCGCCGCCGCUUGCCCCUUUCUCUGUAGAUCACCGACGCAACCCUGGGCCCCGGGGUCAUUCCCUCCUCCCCACGAUGCUGGAGGAGGCCCGAGGAGGCGGCCAUGAGGAGCGCGCAACCGCCAAAGCCAUGGGCAGAUCCAGCCAGCAUCGUCGGCAGCCAUCCCUCCCUCCGGCGGCCAUGAAGAAUUGAAUAGGCUUGAGCAGAACAAGCGCAUGGACGGUGCGCACCUCCCGCGAUAGGAGGUCCUCGUCAUCUGCUCGCAUCCACGAGGAAUCGGUCCAUAUAAUGUUUGCGGGGAGCUCGGUUAGUGUCGAUGCCCCAAGGGCUUAUGCAUAGCAAUUCCAUGCUGCUUAAAGCCACAGUAAUCAUGGCUACCGGUUUCCAGGUAUAUGUUUAUGCAGUCAUAUCGACGUGCUCGUUGACAAUUCGUAUAGAAUGUUUAUAUUCUUUAUAACUUUGCCAAGGAAUGUCUACUGUUAGACAUCUUGCGGGUACUUUGGUUAAGUACUAGAAAGCUCAUACACAGACACAUGCCCAACACAACAACAAGCA
This 664-nucleotide ribosomal RNA is filed under the name Triticum aestivum (bread wheat). RNAcentral's name for it is "partial small subunit ribosomal RNA". The record is from RNAcentral. Lineage: Eukaryota; Viridiplantae; Streptophyta; Magnoliopsida; Poales; Poaceae.